CCUACGGGUGGCAGCAGUAGGGAAUAUUGCUCAAUGGGGGAAACCCUGAAGCAGCAACGCCGCGUGGAGGAUGAAGGUUUUCGGAUUGUAAACUCCUUUUGUUAGAGAAGAUAAUGACGGUAUCUAACGAAUAAGCACCUGCUAACUCCGUGCCAACAGCCGCGGUAAUACGGAGGGUGCAAGCGUUACUCGGAAUCACUGGGCGUAAAGAGCGCGUAGGCGGGAUAGCAAGUCAGAUGUGAAAUCCUAUGGCUUAACCAUAGAACUGCAUUUGAAACUGUGAUUCUAGAGUAUGGGAGAGGUAGGUGGAAUGCUUGGUGUAGGGGUAAAAUGCGUAGAGAUCAAGAGGAAUACUGAUUGCGAAGGCGACCUGCUAGAACAUAACUGACGCUGAUGCGCGAAAGCGUGGGGAGCAAACAGGAUUAGAUACCCGUGUAGUC
This 440-nucleotide ribosomal RNA is filed under the name uncultured bacterium. RNAcentral's name for it is "partial 16S ribosomal RNA". It matches the Rfam family "Bacterial small subunit ribosomal RNA", at positions 338 to 795 of the family's 1533-position model. The record is from RNAcentral.